AUUGAACGCUGGCGGCAUGCUUUACACAUGCAAGUCGAACGGCAGCGCGGGCUUCGGCCUGGCGGCGAGUGGCGCACGGGUGAGUAAUGCAUCGGAACGUGCCCAGUAGUGGGGGAUAGCCCGGCGAAGGCCGGAGUAAUACCGCAUACGACCUGAGGGUGAAAGCGGGGGACCGAAAGGCCUCGCGCGAUUGGAGGGGCCGAUGUCGGAUUAGCCAGUUGGUGGGGUAAAGGCUUACCAAGGCGACGAUCCGUAGGUGGUCUGAGAGGACGACCAGCCACACUGGGACUGAGCCACGGCCCAGACUCCUACGGGAGGCAGCAGUGGGGAAUUUUGGACAAUGGGGGCAACCCUGAUCCAGCCAUGCCGCGUGCGGGAAGAAGGCCUUCGGGUUGUAAACCGCUUUUGUUCGGGAAGAAAUCCUCUGGGCUAAUACCCCGGGGGGAUGACGGUACCGGAAGAAUAAGCACCGGCUAACUACGUG
Molecule: ribosomal RNA, 484 nt
Filed under: uncultured bacterium
Lineage: Bacteria
Description: partial 16S ribosomal RNA
Rfam family: Bacterial small subunit ribosomal RNA
Source: RNAcentral